CCCUUAGAUGUUCUGGGCCGCACGCGCGCUACACUGUUCGACGCAGCGAGUCUUAACCUUGACCGAAAGGUUUGGGUAAUCUUCAGCAAAGUCGAACGUGAUGGGGAUCGAUCAUUGAAAUUAUUAAUCUUGAACGAGGAAUUCCUAGUAAACGCAGAUCAUCAAUCUGCAUUGAUUACGUCCCUGCCCUUUGUACACACCGCCCGUCGCACCUACCGAUUGGAUGGUCCGGUGAAGCCUCGGGAUUGUGGUUCUUGCCGCUUUAUUGUGGCGUGACCGCGAGAACUUGUCUAAACCUUAUCAUCUAGAGGAAGGUGAAGUCGUAACA
Molecule: ribosomal RNA, 328 nt
Filed under: uncultured eukaryote
Lineage: Eukaryota
Description: partial 18S ribosomal RNA
Rfam family: Eukaryotic small subunit ribosomal RNA
Source: RNAcentral